CCUACGGGAGGCAGCAGUGAGGAAUAUUGGUCAAUGGGCGCGAGCCUGAACCAGCAAAGUAGCGUGAAGGAUGACUGCCCUACGGGUUGUAAACUUCUUUUAUCAAGGAAUAAAGUGAGGCCCGUGUGCCUUUUUGUAUGUACUUUAUGAAGAAGGAUCGGCUAACUCCGUGCCAGCAGCCGCGGUAAUACGGAGGAUCCGCGCGUUAUCCGGAUUUAUUGUGUUUAAAGGGAGCGUAGAUGGGUUGUUAAGUCAGUUGUGAAAGUUUGCGGCUCAACCGUAAAAUUGCAAUUGAAACUGGCAGUCUUGAGUACAGUUGAGGUAGGCGGAAUUCGUGGUGUAGCGGUGAAAUGCUUAGAUAUCACGAAGAACUCCGAUUGCGAAGGCAGCUUACUAAACUGCCACUGACAUUGAUGCUCGAAAGUGUGGGUAUCAAACAGGAUUAGAUACCCCAGUAGUC
RNAcentral lists this ribosomal RNA (460 nucleotides) under uncultured bacterium. Its description in RNAcentral is "partial 16S ribosomal RNA". It matches the Rfam family "Bacterial small subunit ribosomal RNA", at positions 338 to 795 of the family's 1533-position model. The record is from RNAcentral.